Molecule: long non-coding RNA, 402 nt
Filed under: Nicotiana benthamiana
Lineage: Eukaryota; Viridiplantae; Streptophyta; Magnoliopsida; Solanales; Solanaceae
Description: long non-coding RNA (NBEN_LNC031530)
Source: RNAcentral
GCUGCCUUUGAAAUCCUUUCAUCUCCCAAAACCCUCUCAAAGCACCUUCGAAACCCUAGCUUCCUCCUACCCUAUUUCAAUAUGUUUCCACCAGAAUCCAUGUCUUCUCAGGCCAUGGAUGGUCUAUACUCACCCCUAUCUGCCAUUAAACCAUGGGUGCUUGAAGUCUUGGGGUAUCACCUCGAAGGUUCUCUUCAGAUCUUCUCAGAUCUACAGUUCUUGGGCCUCUCUGGACAUGCUCCAGCGUAUCUAAGGCGUUAGAAGCCACUUUCUAGCUCAGCCGACUCAGGAUCUGAUUUUUCCUCCAAGACUUUCUCAUUUCUUGGGUUUCUCCGAAACCCUAAGUUGUUUGAGGUUCUUUUCUGUUUAUUUUCUUAGACCUAUGGUAUGUUUGUGUUCUAC